Long non-coding RNA from Esox lucius (northern pike), 2529 nucleotides. NCBI's taxonomy places the organism in Eukaryota, Metazoa, Chordata, Actinopteri, Esociformes, Esocidae. The record is from Ensembl.
GAUUUAUUCAGAGAUGCUCACUAGGUAAAUUUUCCUCAUUAGUGAGUCUUCAGCAUCCUAUAACCAUGUUCCAAAAAGUAGGUAUUGUAUUUAAAUACCAAUGUGUUUAUGUAGACUUUUAUUCAUAACCUAGAUGUCCUCUAGUGGAACUAGAGCAUUUACCCACUGAGCAUCUCCAAAUAGUCAACCCAGACUAAUUUUAAAGUUACAGUAUAUUGAGAUACAAACUUAAAAUGGACUAUUCAACUCUUCCUGACAUGUUACAGGUGUUAUCAUUGUUCUAAGACUAGAUUUGUGUGAUGAGUAUACUUUGGAUUCAAACGUGUGGUGACUGUUUAAACCGCCGCCAUAUAAACAUUUAACUGAUGUAAUAUGAUGUGGGUCUGUUAUAAUGAAUCAUGAAGGAUUUCAUUAUUAUUUAUUAUAAAAGUCUCUGCCAAUGGCACGGUUUGAUCUUCUAUUCUGCAGUCGGUUUUCCAAGAGGACAGGGUAGGUCGAGGUUACGUUCCAUGUAUACAUUUCAAUUAAACGCAGCUUACUUUAUCUAGCACUAGCUAAAAUGGUGAAAUAAAUGGAGAUCUACUCUCUGGUUUGAUGUUACUGGAAAGGUGAGUUGACAAUGACAAGAAAAUGAAUUCUGGGCUUACAGUAGAAGCUUCCGUCAACACUAGGAGGCAAUGUUUCCCCACAUCAAUAAUGGCAAAAUACUUAAUAUCUCUCACUUCAUAUGGGUCAGAUGAAGGGAUGCUCUAGUAGUGGUUUUAAUACAGAGGAAGAACUAUCUGCAAUCUCUGAAGACGCUCAGUUUAUGGUUUUCGAAGACAUCUGCUCAUCUGAGCGAGUCUGACAGCAAAGACAAAAUGUAGAGGAAAUGUGACAGUUGUCCAGAGACAGAAUGUUGUGCAGUAAAAAGGUCAGAGUCAAUGCACAAUGUAGGUUUUCUAAAAUCUUUAAUGAGCAUUCCCAUUUCCUGUACGACACCUACAUAUUAAACUGAAGUUGAUCAUAAUAGAAAUAUAUUUAAACUUUUUUUUUAUUGCUCAUUUUAAAUGCAAUCAAACUGCACAUACCAGAACCAUCUACCAAAUAAAAAAUAAAUACAUCUCUUAAGGGUUAUUGCUUGUGCUUCUUUAACUGGUAUGAGUUUGACUCAUGUUUCCUUCAGCAUUUCUAUGGUAAAGAGGGAGAUCUUACCACAAGAAUGUGAAGAGCGCAAACUGGCCACCUUAGUCCCCAGUCACUCGACUGACGUCUAUAUGCCCUUCCAGACAGCCAUACAAAGAAAAAGCAGUGGGGCGCAUAUAAAUAUAACCAUGUUGUACGAGUCCACUUUUUUGCCAGUUUACAUCAGCGGUGCAUGAUACAAAACGAUACAGCAGUGGAUCUACAAACAUAAGUUGUACAAAUCAUUUUUGUGCCAGUUUCCCUAUGAAUUAGCACUCAGCCAUACAAAAGGAUACAGCAGUGAAUCUUCUACAAAUACCAAGUUGUAUAUAUCCACUUUGUGCCGGUUGAUGUCAGCAGUACCUCAAACAUCUGUGGUUUUUAUUUUCAAGUGUCUCUGUGUCUCCGCACUGAGGAGGGUACUGAUUACUGAACCACUGUAAUGAUACGGUGGCGUUCCAGUUCUCCUUAGGAUGACAGCAUACAGUGAGAGCAUGGCCGUGACUGGAGACGCCUCCUUCAAAGACAAAGGCUAUUGUGUGCCAUGCCGGUGACAUCUCUCUGAGAAACCUUGAGGACCACAAUAAACGAGAACAAUGUGUGUGGUCUUUGAACCUACCUAAACAAAGCAACACGUUCAGCUGCGACCUGGCAGUUAGACUUCAUAACACUCCAGUUUCAAUGAGAAAUGCUUCAAGGAUUUUUCAGAAUGGGUUAUUUGUUCAUUAAGUUCAACAACGGAGCACUUUCAUUUUCUCCAUUUCAUGGUCUUCACGGUCAGUACCAGGACGUUCCUAAAAAGUCUGACUGUAUAGAGAUGACCUGUUUUAACAUUUCUUUUUAUUCCACUGCAUAAUCACAUUUCCCCCCCAUCCACAUACUGUCCUAUACCCAUAUCACUUGCCUAACCAAAACUAUUUUCUCAUCCUUUCUGUCUUAGCUCCAUACCAUUUUCUCAUAAUCAAACCAAUCUAUUCUCUUUCAAAUCCAAAAGUCCAUCUCUAAUUACUUUUCUAAACCUUCCAUGCAUAAAUAGCAAUCACCACUUCAUAACCAAAGCAAAUGUCCAUUUCAUGUCACCUGUGGCCAAAACAAUACAGCAUUUUGUUGAAAAUUGACAACAAUAGUAUAACCCAAUCAAUACUGCAACCCGUAUCUUCUUAAUGAACCCAUCUAAUUCCAGUUAAAACAGCACAUGGACACACUGGGUACAUGAACUUUUAAACAAAACAGCUUUGAGAGGUGCCAUCAAUACUAUAUCCAAUGCAACCAGUAUCUCAACAAACCCAUCUGAAUCCAGUUAAAGCAGCACAUACAGUACACACAUCUAAAUAUAAACAAAACACCAUCCCACUGUAUAAAUAC